UUAAGCGACUAAGCGUACACGGUGGAUGCCCUGGCAGUCAGAGGCGAUGAAGGACGUGCUAAUCUGCGAAAAGCGUCGGUAAGGUGAUAUGAACCGUUAUAACCGGCGAUGUCCGAAUGGGGAAACCCAGUGCAAUUCGUUGCACUAUCGUUAACUGAAUACAUAGGUUAACGAGGCGAACCGGGGGAACUGAAACAUCUAAGUACCCCGAGGAAAAGAAAUCAACCGAGAUUCCCCCAGUAGCGGCGAGCGAACGGGGAGCAGCCCAGAGUCUGAAUCAGCUUGUGUGUUAGUGGAACGGUCUGGAAAGUCCGACGGUACAGGGUGAUAGUCCCGUACACCAAAAUGCACAGGUUGUGAACUCGAAGAGUAGGGCGGGACACGUGGUAUCCUGUCUGAAUAUGGGGGGACCAUCCUCCAAGGCUAAAUACUCCUGACUGACCGAUAGUGAACCAGUACCGUGAGGGAAAGGCGAAAAGAACCCCGGCGAGGGGAGUGAAAAAGAACCUGAAACCGUGUACGUACAAGCAGUGGGAGCACCUUCGGGUGUGACUGCGUACCUUUUGUAUAAUGGGUCAGCGACUUAUAUUCUGUAGCAAGGUUAACCGUAUAGGGGAGCCGCAGGGAAACCGAGUCUUAACUGGGCGUUAAGUUGCAGGGUAUAGACCCGAAACCCGGUGAUCUAGCCAUGGGCAGGUUGAAGGUUGGGUAACACUAACUGGAGGACCGAACCGACUAAUGUUGAAAAAUUAGCGGAUGACUUGUGGCUGGGGGUGAAAGGCCAAUCAAACCGGGAGAUAGCUGGUUCUCCCCGAAAGCUAUUUAGGUAGCGCCUCGUGAAUUCAUCUUCGGGGGUAGAGCACUGUUUCGGCUAGGGGGUCAUCCCGACUUACCAACCCGAUGCAAACUACGAAUACCGAAGAAUGUUAUCACGGGAGACACACGGCGGGUGCUAACGUCCGUCGUGAAGAGGGAAACAACCCAGACCGCCAGCUAAGGUCCCAAAGUCAUGGUUAAGUGGGAAACGAUGUGGGAAGGCACAGACAGCCAGGAUGUUGGCUUAGAAGCAGCCAUCAUUUAAAGAAAGCGUAAUAGCUCACUGGUCGAGUCGGCCUGCGCGGAAGAUGUAACGGGGCUAAACCAUGCACCGAAGCUGCGGCAGCGACACUAUGUGUUGUUGGGUAGGGGAGCGUUCUGUAAGCCUGCGAAGGUGACCUGUGAGGGUUGCUGGAGGUAUCAGAAGUGCGAAUGCUGACAUAAGUAACGAUAAAGCGGGUGAAAAGCCCGCUCGCCGGAAGACCAAGGGUUCCUGUCCAACGUUAAUCGGGGCAGGGUGAGUCGACCCCUAAGGCGAGGCCGAAAGGCGUAGUCGAUGGGAAACAGGUUAAUAUUCCUGUACUUGGUGUUACUGCGAAGGGGGGACGGAGAAGGCUAUGUUAGCCGGGCGACGGUUGUCCCGGUUUAAGCAUGUAGGCUGNNNNUCCAGGCAAAUCCGGAUAAUCAAGGCUGAGGUGUGAUGACGAGGCACUACGGUGCUGAAGUAACAAAUGCCCUGCUUCCAGGAAAAGCCUCUAAGCAUCAGGUAACAUCAAAUCGUACCCCAAACCGACACAGGUGGUCAGGUAGAGAAUACCAAGGCGCUUGAGAGAACUCGGGUGAAGGAACUAGGCAAAAUGGUGCCGUAACUUCGGGAGAAGGCACGCUGGUGUGUAGGUGAAGCCCCUGCGGGUGGAGCUGAGACCAGUCGAAGAUACCAGCUGGCUGCAACUGUUUAUUAAAAACACAGCACUGUGCAAACACGAAAGUGGACGUAUACGGUGUGACGCCUGCCCGGUGCCGGAAGGUUAAUUGAUGGGGUUAUCCGUAAGGAGAAGCUCUUGAUCGAAGCCCCGGUAAACGGCGGCCGUAACUAUAACGGUCCUAAGGUAGCGAAAUUCCUUGUCGGGUAAGUUCCGACCUGCACGAAUGGCGUAAUGAUGGCCAGGCUGUCUCCACCCGAGACUCAGUGAAAUUGAACUCGCUGUGAAGAUGCAGUGUACCCGCGGCAAGACGGAAAGACCCCGUGAACCUUUACUAUAGCUUGACACUGAACAUUGAGCCUUGAUGUGUAGGAUAGGUGGGAGGCUUUGAAGCGUGGACGCCAGUCUGCGUGGAGCCAACCUUGAAAUACCACCCUUUAAUGUUUGAUGUUCUAACGUUGGCCCCUGACCGGGGUUGCGGACAGUGUCUGGUGGGUAGUUUGACUGGGGCGGUCUCCUCCCAAAGCGUAACGGAGGAGCACGAAGGUUAGCUAAUCCUGGUCGGACAUCAGGAGGUUAGUGCAAUGGCAUAAGCUAGCUUGACUGCGAGCGUGACGGCGCGAGCAGGUGCGAAAGCAGGUCAUAGUGAUCCGGUGGUUCUGAAUGGAAGGGCCAUCGCUCAACGGAUAAAAGGUACUCCGGGGAUAACAGGCUGAUACCGCCCAAGAGUUCAUAUCGACGGCGGUGUUUGGCACCUCGAUGUCGGCUCAUCACAUCCUGGGGCUGAAGUAGGUCCCAAGGGUAUGGCUGUUCGCCAUUUAAAGUGGUACGCGAGCUGGGUUUAGAACGUCGUGAGACAGUUCGGUCCCUAUCUGCCGUGGGCGCUGGAGAAUUGAGGGGGGCUGCUCCUAGUACGAGAGGACCGGAGUGGACGCAUCACUGGUGUUCGGGUUGUCAUGCCAAUGGCACUGCCCGGUAGCUAAAUGCGGAAGAGAUAAGUGCUGAAAGCAUCUAAGCACGAAACUUGCCCCGAGAUGAGUUCUCCCUGAGACUUUAAGUCUCCUGAAGGAACGUUGAAGACGACGACGUUGAUAGGCCGGGUGUGUAAGCGCAGCGAUGCGUUGAGCUAACCGGUACUAAUGAACCGUGAGGCUUAACCUU
This 2900-nucleotide ribosomal RNA is filed under the name Klebsiella pneumoniae. Its description in RNAcentral is "bacterial LSU rRNA". It matches the Rfam family "Bacterial large subunit ribosomal RNA". Lineage: Bacteria; Pseudomonadati; Pseudomonadota; Gammaproteobacteria; Enterobacterales; Enterobacteriaceae. The record is from RNAcentral.